UACGAAGGGGGCGAGCGUUGUUCGGAUUUACUGGGCGUAAAGGGCGCGCAGGCGGUCAUUUUUGUCGAGUGUGAAAGCCCCGGGCUCAACCUGGGAACAGCGCUUGAGACUGGCACGCUCGAGUUCGGGAGAGGAUGGUGGAAUUCCCAGUGUAGAGGUGAAAUUCGUAGAUAUUGGGAAGAACACCGAUGGCGAAGGCAGCCAUCUGGACCGACACUGACGCUGAGGCGCGAAAGCGUGGGGAGCAAACAGG
Molecule: ribosomal RNA, 253 nt
Filed under: uncultured bacterium
Lineage: Bacteria
Description: partial 16S ribosomal RNA
Rfam family: Bacterial small subunit ribosomal RNA
Source: RNAcentral